Molecule: ribosomal RNA, 253 nt
Filed under: uncultured bacterium
Lineage: Bacteria
Description: partial 16S ribosomal RNA
Rfam family: Bacterial small subunit ribosomal RNA
Source: RNAcentral
UACGGAGGGUGCAAGCGUUACUCGGAAUUACUGGGCGUAAAGCGCAUGUAGGUGGCUUCAUAAGUCUGGUGUGAAAUCCCGGGGCUCAACCCCGGAAGUGCAUUGGAUACUGUGAGGCUAGAGUAUGGGAGAGGAGAGUGGAAUUCCUGGUGUAGAGGUGAAAUUCGUAGAUAUCAGGAGGAACACCGGCGGCGAAGGCGGCUCUCUGGACCAUUACUGACACUGAGAUGCGAAAGCGUGGGGAGCCAACAGG